This 292-nucleotide ribosomal RNA is filed under the name uncultured bacterium. RNAcentral describes it as "partial 16S ribosomal RNA". It matches the Rfam family "Bacterial small subunit ribosomal RNA", at positions 505 to 796 of the family's 1533-position model. The record is from RNAcentral.
GUGCCAGCAGCCGCGGUAAUACAGAGGGUGCAAGCGUUGUUCGGAAUUAUUGGGCGUAAAGGGAGUGUAGGCGGCUUGUUAAGUCUUCUGUGAAAUCUACGGGCUCAGCCUGUAAAGUGCAGAGGAAACUGGCGAGCUUGAGUGUCGGAGAGGAUAGGGGAAUACCCGGUGUAGAGGUGAAAUUCGUAGAGAUCGGGUGGAACACCAGUGGCGAAGGCGCCUGUCUGGCUGACAACUGACGCUGAGACUCGAAAGCAUGGGGAGCAAACAGGAUUAGAUACCCCCGUAGUCC